Molecule: long non-coding RNA, 2224 nt
Organism: Daucus carota subsp. sativus
Lineage: Eukaryota; Viridiplantae; Streptophyta; Magnoliopsida; Apiales; Apiaceae
Exons: 2
Source: RefSeq, a predicted model, not a curated record
UCCCUCCGUCCCCCUGAGUAGUAUACAUUGGGGGACGGGGACGCGGCACGGACUUUAAUGCUCCUGCAAAGUGUAGUUGUGCAAUUUAUUUUUAAAAUUUUUCUUUUCUGAAUUAAAGUUUGGAUGUUAUAUUUUUAUACAGAAAAAGAAAAUCUCAAAAAUAAGUUACAGAACUAUACUUUAUAAAAGCAUUGAAAUGCGUGUCGAGCAGUUAAAAAGAAACGUAUAGAAUUAAAUGGGACAGAGGGAGUAAUACUUAUGCUUAUAAACUGAACAAAUAUUCCCACUCUUCUCAAUGUGGGACUGGAGUGUUACAUAUAUAAUAUCAUCAGUUCUCCGCUUAUUUUCUUUUUGGAGGCAUCAUCCAGGCAAAUGGUUUGUGGUGAUCCUUUUUAAUCCACUUUGAUAGAUGUUUUUUGCAUGUUUCUGCAUUACAUUUUCAAAACAUACAAAAACACCGCAUAAACUUAAAUAUAGAAAUGUUUAGAGCAUGCACGUGCCUCGCACGGGUUAUAAAGCUAGUAUCAUUAAGAAAAAAACUGAAUGUCUAGUUUUAAAUGUGUUGUUUACAUUCUGAUAAUAAUUCACACGCUGAAAGUGCAGCAUCUCCCCAUUUUAUCAAUUAUAUUAUCUGAUUCUGCAAUGGGGAUGCCUGGGACCUUGGUCGUCAUUUAUAUGCACUCUGUUGAUUCAUAUUUGACUUGUCACAUUUGUCCACUAAUCUUAUAUGGAGUUUCGUGGAGAACCCUCUCCAUUAAUCCCAGCUGUUAGAUCUAAAUAACAUCCUAUGGUUAAUAUUAAACCAUAAUAAAAAAAGUUAAAAUUUUAUUGAAAAAUAAUUAUUUGAUAGGUCGUAGAUACGUACAAUGAAUCUCUCUCUCCAAUCUCGCUGACUGAUCUCUCUCACUGAACCUCUCUCUCGCCGAUAUCUCUCACCAACCUCUCGCCGGACCUCUCCCUCCUGUUAAUCUUGUUAAUCUAUGUGGUGCGUUCGCUUUCUCAUCAUUCAAUUGUAAUUGCAAAUACAGGACGGCGUCUUCCUCCAAUCAAGCUCAGUGUUUGUCCAAUCAAGUUCAGCUCUGUGGUUCUUUCAGUCGUUGUCAGCAGCUGCACACCUCUCCAUGAAAGGCCUGUAUGAUUACUCAUGAAUAUAUAGAGGCUAUGAAAAAAGAAGCAUUCUAAGCACUCCUAACAAUUACCAGCUCAAAAUUGGUCUGCUCCCAGAGAUCUGAUGAUGCCAUAGCAGCUAUGAAGCUUUUAUAAGCUUCAAGUUCCAGAGAAGCUCCCACACAGACCUAUGUGCUUAACCUGGUGGAACUUGUUGGCCAAGCCACGCCACUCAUAAUCAAUCACGGAAUGGGUCAAAAGAUUUCCUCUGGACACACUCUUUCGCGACAUAGAAUUCAGUUGAGUGUCAUUAGGCUUGUUCCCUCUGAAGUGAGUGAAGAGAACUGGGACGCUGUUCUUGACAGAGAAAUCUUAAGGGAGACAAAGAUACUGAGCAGAAAACAGAGCAAUAUAGUUUAUAGAGAAGAGACUACUAGUGAUGGAGGAAACAGAGCAAUAUAGUUUAUAGAGAAGAGACUACUAGUGAUGGAGGAAACAGAGCAAUAUAGUUUAUAGAGAAGAGACUACUAGUGAUGGCGGAGAGACUGCUCUGAUAGUGAAUUCAAUGGUGGAUUCCUUUGAUUUGAUACUGGUUGGGAGACACUCAGACACCACAGGAGAGCAUUCACCGCUCUUAGCAGGUCUGUCGCAAUGGAAUGAUAUACCAGAGCUAGGGGGCAGUAGGUGACAUUUUGGCAUCUGCGGAAAUUAACAGACCAGCUUCAGUCUUGGUGGUGCAGCAACAGAUUGUCAGGUAAAUUUAUUGCAAGUGAUAUAUCAUGACAAAGAGAUGUUUGAAUGCAAAGAGAUAGUUUUUUUUUUAUCAAAUUUGUUCUUAAGUCAGACCAUCAUUUAUCUUAGUAGUCUGAUUUGCUUGUAUCACUUUUCCAUUUGAUGGUAAAUUGUAAUUGAAAUAAGAAGUUUUUUCGUUAGACUUAAUUUGGAAAGACUUAACGGUAAUUAAUGUCUAGCCGUCUGAUUGCGAGGAGGUAUCUGUAGUGAGGUGUGUGUAAAUUGUGUUUAGAGCCAUACUGUAAAUAUAUUUUUAUAGAUGUUGUAUCUAUUGAUGCGAGCACUUGUCAGCUAUCAACAUGCUUGAUGCAGACUACAUUAUCAA